Molecule: ribosomal RNA, 497 nt
Filed under: uncultured bacterium
Lineage: Bacteria
Description: partial 16S ribosomal RNA
Rfam family: Bacterial small subunit ribosomal RNA
Source: RNAcentral
GACGAACGCUGGCGGCGUGCCUAAUACAUGCAAGUAGAACGCUGAAGCGAGGAGCUUGCUCUUCUUGGAUGAGUUGCGAACGGGUGAGUAACGCGUAGGUAACCUGCCUGGUAGCGGGGGAUAACUAUUGGAAACGAUAGCUAAUACCGCAUAAUAGUAGUUGUUGCAUGACAUUUGCUUAAAAGGUGCAAUUGCAUCACUACCAGAUGGACCUGCGUUGUAUUAGCUAGUUGGUGAGGUAACGGCUCACCAAGGCAACGUUACAUAGCCGACCUGCGAGGGUGAUCGGCCGCACUGGGACGGAGAAGCGGCCCAGACUUCUACGGAAGGUGGCAGUAGGGAAUCUGGCGCAAAGGACGGAAGACUGACCGAGCAACGCCGCGACAGUGAAGAAGGAUACCGGGUCGGAAAGAUCGGUUGUAAGAGAAGAACGAGUGUGAGAGUAGAAAGUUCACACUGUGACGGUAUCUGAACAGAAAGGGACGGCUAACUACGUG